Small nucleolar RNA from Callithrix jacchus (white-tufted-ear marmoset), 75 nucleotides. Its record names the gene U3. It matches the Rfam family "Small nucleolar RNA U3". From Rfam's summary of the family: Small nucleolar RNAs (snoRNAs) are involved in the processing and modification of rRNA in the nucleolus. There are two main classes of snoRNAs: the box C/D class, and the box H/ACA class. Lineage: Eukaryota; Metazoa; Chordata; Mammalia; Primates; Cebidae. The record is from Ensembl.
AAGACUAUACUUUCAGAGAUCAUUUCUAUAGUUUGUUACUAGAGAAGUUUCUCUGAAUGUAUAGUAUUAAAAAAU